AUAAACCGCCAGUUCUGAAACCUUUGUGUUGAGCCUCUCUCUCUCUCUCUCUCUCUAGGGUUUAUUACUCUCCCUCCACAGCGCAACAAUGGAACUUUCGAAGAAACGCAGAGCCGACGAGAACGGCGCCACAUUAUUCACCCCCUUCGAGACCGACACCGCUCCUCCUCCCCUCCCAAACCCCAACCUCACCCUCGACGACGCCCGCAAGAUCAUCUUGCCCUUCACGCAGCCCCAGCUCCUCGACAUCCUCGAGCCCGCCCUCCUCCGCCACCCCGACGUCCUCGCCGCCGUCCGCUCCAUCGCCGACGCCGACCCGGCCAGGCGCAAGCUCUUCGUCCGCGGUCUCGGCUGGGAGACCACCACCGAGAAGCUCCGCAACCUCUUCUCCACCUAUGGCGACGUCGAGGAGGCCGUGGUCAUCACCGAUAAGGCCACUGGGAAGUCGAAAGGCUACGGCUUUGUUACCUUCAGGCACGUUGAUGGUGCAUUAGUGGCCUUGAAGGAGCCCAGCAAGAAAAUCGACGGCCGGAUGACUGUGACGCAGCUUGCGGCCGCCGGAAUUUCAGGUGCUAAUGCAGGGGUUGGUGGUGUUGAUGUUUCUUUGAGGAAGAUUUUUGUUGGUAAUGUGCCGUUUGAGAUUUCGUCGGAGAGGUUGUUGGGGCACUUCUCUGCAUACGGAGAGGUAGAGGAAGGGCCUUUAGGGUUCGAUAAGCAGAUGGGUAAGGAGAGGGGGUUUGCGUUCUUUGUUUACAAGACGGAGGAGGGGGCUAGGGCUUCGCUUGUGGAUCCGGCUAAGAACAUUGAUGGGCACCAAGUGAUGUGUAAAUUGGCUGAAGAUGGGAAGAGGAGGAAGCCCAGUGGUGAUGUUGGGGCUGGUGUGCCGCCAGUUGGGUCGGUGGGGCCGGGUUCACUGAAUUCUGGUUAUGGUGUGCCUGGUGGUGGCCCUGGUGGAUAUGGAGGCUUCUCUGGUGGACUGCCCCAUCAAAAUGCAAAUGUCAAUCCGGGAUUUGGGAAUCAGGGACAGUCUUCGUUUGUUGGUGCUGGUGGCGGGUAUGGACCUGGUUUGGGCGGAGGUGGUGGUUAUGGUGGUUCACAAUAUGGUGUGUCUGGUUCAGGUGAAUAUGGUGGAUAUAGGUUGCCCCCAAGCUCUAUUGGGAUGCCUUCUGGGGGAUACGCAGAGAGCGGUAACUAUGGGUUGUCAACAUCUUCUUUUCCAACGCAGUUGCCCCAACCAUCGUCGGGUCCUAGAUUUCCUCCUGGUGGAAUGUACCAGGGCGGCAUGCAACCCUACUAUUGAGGUUUGAUGAUAUAGCCUUCUUGCGACUAGCUUUUGUCCAAAAGGGCAGUGUGCAGUGGAGUGGACUGAACAUUUUCUGCUCAUCUCCAAUUGUCUGAAUUGUUUAAAGAAUGAAACUUGCAGCUACUACUUUUUUGUUUGGUGCUGUGAACAUUUUCGGCCUUUUGUUUUGUGUAUGAUUUUUCUGUUUGUUUUUCCGGGCUUGUGAAUCAUAACAAUAAUAUUCUAGUACUCAAGUCAUUAAAGAAUGAAUAGAAGAUGUUUGGAGCUUGCAGUGCUGCUCUGUUUUGUUUAUGAUUUUUCUGUUUGUUUUUCCGGGCUUGUGAAUCUUAGCCAUAAUUUUCUAGUGCUCAGUCAUUAAAGAAUGAAUAGAAGAUGUUUGGAGGUUGCAGUGCUGCUCAGUAUGUCCAUACCACCACUCCGUCUGUAUAUUGUCACCACCUAGCAUAUGUUUGUAACCCUAUAGUCUUCUCCUUCAUUAAUCAUGUAAGCAUAUUCAUGGUGGAUGCUCAGGGAUGUUUGUUGCAGAGUAAGCCUUCAAAGGUGUACGACCUUGUGAUGGUUUUCGCAUUUGUUUGUUUUGUUUGUGUUUUUGUUGUGUGCAUGUCUAUGUUACCAGAAAAUGCAAAUAUCCUAGCGGUUUACAUAUGAAACACAUGUCCCGAAUCAUGGUACAAUUUCAUCUUGGAACGAUGAAUUUGGCAACCAAAUCUACCCAAAACGUUUUACUGUUUAUUUCUAAAGAAUGUGGCUUUAGCAAGACAAAUUGUGAAAAAAUGGUCAAUAUACUCCUUUAAAUUUGUUUGGAAUGAAUAAUUUGAUGGAUUUGUAUUUUAAUAUUAUAAUACAUAUAAGCCAAUCCCUAUCGUAGCACUCUUUAGGGAAUGUGGCAUACCGCGUUCCCGUUUCUUGUACAUGAAUACUCUGCAUUCAACCUUGGUGCAACUCUUUCUUUUUGGUGGGGGAGAGGGGAGGAGAUGCAAGCAAAGUUUUUAGAGGUGAAAGCGCAAGGCAAGGUAGUUGUCCUCUCAUGAGGUGAGGCAUAAGCCUGAGUUUUUGUUUUUUACAUAAUAACAAAUAAAACUAACUAAAAAUACCAGAACAGCAGGGAAUAGUGUUUGUGCCUCUGAAAAUAAGAAAAUGGUAAACCGAAUUUUAAAAAGCAUGUUAAGGCAUAAAAACAUGGUGCAUUAAUAGAUCCAACCUUCAAAAGCACUCUAAGGUGUCUUUCUAGUAUGCCGAAGCCCUUCCUCCACGUCCAACAACUUGUAAUGAACUGACUCUUCACUUACCCAAGAAAAAGAACCGGCUUUCUUCUGAUGCAUUUGCCUUUGUCAUCUGGGCGAAAAAGGCAUGAAAAGUGUAUGAUUCCAUAUGCCUUUGGUAGAUGGGUGAACACCCUUGUGGUAUGCUAAAAAAUCAAUGCCCCGGAGGACUUUUGCUGCGCCUCACGGCCCUCACCUCAAAGCAAGCCCCAAAAUCGCCUUUGAAAACAUUGCUGCAAUGCUCUGGUUUAGUUCGGAAUAGAACUUAUGGAAAGGACAACACCUGAGUUUCCUCGACGUUUCGUUUACCCUGUGUAUGAUUGGAGGACCUCUCCUUUGGGUCCUUUAACCUGAAAGGUGCACUUAGAUUGAGGUGGCGGUUUGGACGGGAGGCCUUUAACACGUAUGCGAAUAAAGGUAGAUUCAACUCUGCUGUCAGCUCAUACUCUUCAGGCCACGCUAUUUGUGGUAGAGAUUGAUUAAGCACACCAUAGGGUUUUUUUGACCCUUAACAGCACAGAUGAGUUGCGCAUUUGUCAGCUGCGUCUGCUGGUGUUUUGUUGGAAACUUCAGUUUGGGUGGAAUCAUUUCUGCAACUAUAAUCGAACUUCACGAUCUUUUGUAAUGAGGAUUGUAAAUUAUCGUAGUAGCUGUAGAGAUGUGUAAGACGUCAAUUUAUUGUUGUUAAUUAUAGUGGCAUCAUACAAUCCGUUUUGCUGAAUUAAUCUGAAAAUGUACGAGUACCGUAGCAUAAUUGACUGAAUUAAUUCCUUUUGGUGCCACUAAACAAAAUGUACAAGUACCGAUAGCCAUGUGAACAAGUUAAUUUUGGCAUGUAAAAUACACGCUCUACGUCACAUUCCCCCUCU
RNA transcript from Rhododendron vialii, 3434 nucleotides. It is a transcript of the gene named UBP1-associated protein 2C-like, with no coding region annotated. Lineage: Eukaryota; Viridiplantae; Streptophyta; Magnoliopsida; Ericales; Ericaceae. The transcript is spliced from 5 exons. The record is from RefSeq and is a predicted model, not a curated record.